GAGGGUACAGCUCAGUGGUAGAGUGUGUGUUUAGCAUGCCAAGAUCCUGGGUUCAAUCCCCCAGUACCUCCA
Molecule: transfer RNA, 72 nt
Filed under: Camelus bactrianus (Bactrian camel)
Lineage: Eukaryota; Metazoa; Chordata; Mammalia; Artiodactyla; Camelidae
Also listed under: 2 other names
Rfam family: tRNA
About the family: Transfer RNA (tRNA) molecules are approximately 80 nucleotides in length. Their secondary structure includes four short double-helical elements and three loops (D, anti-codon, and T loops).
Source: Rfam by way of RNAcentral